Long non-coding RNA from Tachysurus fulvidraco (yellow catfish), 300 nucleotides. RefSeq lists it as uncharacterized. Lineage: Eukaryota; Metazoa; Chordata; Actinopteri; Siluriformes; Bagridae. The transcript has 2 exons. The record is from RefSeq and is a predicted model, not a curated record.
CAGUGAUGAUGAGGGACAUGAGCCGAGGUCUGGAGCUGGAAGCUUUAGAUGGAUAACCUCCCAGAGCCUCCAUGUUGAGGACUGAUGAAGAUGGAGGAGGUGGAGAUGUGUGGAGGAGGUGGAGAUGAAGAUGGAGGAGUGAACGUCAAGACAUGUACAACACAUCUGCCUCAGGGGGGCGCCAUGUGCAGGUAUUCACACAAAUUAAACAAUGCAUUUAUCAUGACAGACUUCUGGUAAGUGGGUGUGGUCUGGACAGGGGUGUGUAUUAGACCCGGUGAGUGGGUGUGACCUGCACAG